Molecule: ribosomal RNA, 468 nt
Filed under: uncultured bacterium
Lineage: Bacteria
Description: partial 16S ribosomal RNA
Rfam family: Bacterial small subunit ribosomal RNA
Source: RNAcentral
GACGAACGCUGGCGGCGUGCUUAACACAUGCAAGUCGAACGGAAAGGCCCUGCUUUUGUGGGGUGCUCGAGUGGCGAACGGGUGAGUAACACGUGAGUAACCUGCCCUUGACUUUGGGAUAACUUCAGGAAACUGGGGCUAAUACCGGAUAGGAGCUCCUGCUGCAUGGUGGGGGUUGGAAAGUUUCGGCGGUUGGGGAUGGACUCGCGGCUUAUCAGCUUGUUGGUGGGGUAGUGGCUUACCAAGGCUUUGACGGGUAGCCGGCCUGAGAGGGUGACCGGACACAUUGGGAAUGAGAUACGGCCCAGACUCCUAAGGGAGGCAGCAGGGGGGAAUAUUGCACAAUGGGCGGAAGCCUGAUGCAGCAAAGCCGCGGGCGGGAUGAAGGCCUUCGGGUUGUAAACCGCUUUCGCCUGUGACGAAGCGUGAGUGACGGUAAUGGGUAAAGAAGCACCGGCUAACUACGUG